Molecule: ribosomal RNA, 468 nt
Filed under: uncultured bacterium
Lineage: Bacteria
Description: partial 16S ribosomal RNA
Rfam family: Bacterial small subunit ribosomal RNA
Source: RNAcentral
GACGAACGCUGGCGGCGUGCUUAACACAUGCGAGUCGAACGGAAAGGCCCUGCUUUUGUGGGGUGCUCGAGUGGCGAACGGGUGAGUAACACGUGAGUAACCUGCCCUUGACUUUGGGAUAACUUCAGGAAACUGGGGCUAAUACCGGAUAGGAGCUCCUGCUGCAUGGUGGGGGUUGGAAAGUUUCGGCGGUUGGGGAUGGACUCGGGGCUUAUCAGCUUGUUGGUGGGGUAGUGGCUUACCAAGGCUUUGACGGGUAGCCGGCCUGAGAGGGUGACCGGCCACAUUGGGACUGAGAUACGGCCCAGACUCCUACGGGAGGCAGCAGUGGGGAAUAUUGCACAAUGGGCGGAAGCCUGAUGCAGCAACGCCGCGUGCGGGAUGACGGCCUUCGGGUUGUAAACCGCUUUCGCCUGUGACGAAGCGUGAGUGACGGUAAUGGGUAAAGAAGCACCGGCUAACUACGUG